Molecule: ribosomal RNA, 253 nt
Filed under: uncultured bacterium
Lineage: Bacteria
Description: partial 16S ribosomal RNA
Rfam family: Bacterial small subunit ribosomal RNA
Source: RNAcentral
UACAUAGGGUGCAAGCGUUAAUCGGAAUUACUGGGCGUAAAGCGUGCGCAGGCGGUUUUGUAAGUCUGUCGUGAAAGCCCCGGGCUCAACCUGGGAAUUGCGAUGGAGACUGCAAGGCUUGAAUCUGGCAGAGGGGGGUAGAAUUCCACGUGUAGCAGUGAAAUGCGCAGAGAUGUGGAGGAACACCGAUGGCGAAGGCAGCCCCCUGGGUCAAGAUUGACGCUCAUGCACGAAAGCGUGGGGAGCAAACAGG